AGUGAACGCUGGCGGUAGGCCUAACACAUGCAAGUCGAACGGCAGCACAGUAGAGCUUGCUCUUACGGGUGGCGAGUGGCGGACGGGUGAGGAAUACAUCGGAAUCUACUUUUUCGUGGGGGAUAACGUAGGGAAACUUACGCUAAUACCGCAUACGACCUACGGGUGAAAGCAGGGGAUCUUCGGACCUUGCGCGAUUGAAUGAGCCGAUGUCGGAUUAGCUAGUUGGCGGGGUAAAGGCCCACCAAGGCGACGAUCCGUAGCUGGUCUGAGAGGAUGAACAGCCACACUGGAACUGAGACACGGCCCAGACUCCUACGGGAGGCAGCAGUGGGGAAUAUUGGACAAUGGGCGCAAGCCUGAUCCAGCCAUACCGCGUGGGUGAAGAAGGCCUUCGGGUUGUAAAGCCCUUUUGUUGGGAAAGAAAAGCAGCAGGUUAAUACCCCGCUGUUCUGACGGUACCCAAAGAAUAAGCACCGGCUAACUUCGUG
RNAcentral lists this ribosomal RNA (491 nucleotides) under uncultured bacterium. Its description in RNAcentral is "partial 16S ribosomal RNA". It matches the Rfam family "Bacterial small subunit ribosomal RNA", at positions 29 to 507 of the family's 1533-position model. The record is from RNAcentral.